AACGAACGCUGGCGGCAUGCCUAACACAUGCAAGUCGAACGAGACCUUCGGGUCUAUUGGCGCACGGGUGCGUAACGCGUGGGAACCUGCCCUUAGGUGCGGAAUAACUCCCCGAAAGGGGUGCUAAUACCGGAUAAUGUCUUCGGCCCAAAGAUUUAUCGCGUUUGGAUGGUCCCGCGUUGGAUUAGCUCGUUGUUAGGGUAAAAGCCUACCAAGGCGACGAUCCAUAGCUGGUCUGAGAGGAUGGUCAGCCACACUGGGACUGAGACACGGCCCAGAAUCCUCCGGGAGGCAGCAGUGGGGAAUGUUGGAAAAUGGGCGAAAUGCUGAUCCAGCAAUGCCGCGUGAGUGAUGAAGGCCUUAGGGUUGUAAAGCUCUUUUAACCGGGAUGAUAAUGACAGUACCGAGAGAAUAAGCCCCGGCUAACUCCGUG
RNAcentral lists this ribosomal RNA (433 nucleotides) under uncultured bacterium. RNAcentral describes it as "partial 16S ribosomal RNA". It matches the Rfam family "Bacterial small subunit ribosomal RNA", at positions 29 to 507 of the family's 1533-position model. The record is from RNAcentral.